AUCAACCAUUUUUUUGUGCAGACACAGCCCUGCAUCUCCAGGAGUGAAUUGGAUCACUCCGGGAAGUGUUCCAAGUGCACAGAGGGGGCCAGGCCGUAAGGAGGCAGGAAGUUACUCUCUGCCUGUCUACAAGCAAGAGAGGAGGGGACUCCUGAGAAAGAAGACAGAAGAUAGUCACCAUCAAAGAAAAGAAAUGAGGCCUCCAACUUUACAUGACUCUUUGGACGGGUCAGGAGACUCAGAAAGCAUAAGUGAAUUGAUACUUUCCAUUUUUUGCCUCUGAUGUCCUAAAACUGUUCUCUGUGUCAAGGGAAACACCACAGUGAGCAAUUGGAACAUACAGGACAUCAGGUCUAGCUUUGAUGUUCUCUUCCUUGAAGUCAGCAGAACAAUGGAUAAUAGUGGAUUCAUUCAGUUGUAUAUUCUUCGUUGUGGAUUCUUCUAGUUGUGGUAUGUGGGACGCUGCCUCAGCGUGGUUUGAUGAGCAGUGCCAUGUCCGCACCCAGGAUUCGAACCAACGAAACACUGGACCGCCU
This 536-nucleotide long non-coding RNA is filed under the name Equus asinus (donkey). Its description in RNAcentral is "lncRNA (ENSEASG00005032207.1)". Lineage: Eukaryota; Metazoa; Chordata; Mammalia; Perissodactyla; Equidae. The record is from RNAcentral.